UCAUUUUUUCAUGAUGCUGGAUGCACUUUUGACAAAGCUUCGGUGCCCAAGGAUGAGUUGGCGGCAGAUUAGGCUGUUGGUGGUGUAAUGGACCACCAAACCUGUGAUCUGUAGGGGGGAUGAGAGUCCGAGCCCCGAGAAGGACACUGAGACAAGGGUCCUAGCCCUACGGGGUGCAGCAGAUGCGAAACCUGCACAAUGCGCGAAAGCGUGAUGCGGGGAGCCCGCGUGCUUGCGGAUAACGUAAGCUUUUCUAGAAUGUAAGGAGUUCUAGGAAUAAGUGGUGGGCAAGACCGGUGCCAGCCGCCGCGGUAAUACCGGCGCCACUGGUGGUAACCGCGUUUAUUGGGCCUAAAGCAUCCGUAGCCGGAUAAGUUAGUUUCCAGUGAAAUCCAACAGCUUAACUGUUGGGCGUGCUGGGAGCACUGCUUAUCUUGAGACCGGGAGGAGUUAAGAGAAUUUCUGGGGGAGCGGUAAAAUGUUGUAAUCCCAGGAGGACUACCUGUGGCGAAGGCGCUUAACGAGAACGGGUCUGACGGUCAGGGAUGAAAGCUAGGGGAGCAAACCGGAUUAGAUACCCGGGUAGUCCUAGCCGUAAACGCUGCUUGUUUGGUGUUGCAUAUCUUUCGCGGAUAUGCAGUACUGUAGUG
Molecule: ribosomal RNA, 650 nt
Filed under: uncultured archaeon
Lineage: Archaea
Description: bacterial SSU rRNA
Rfam family: Archaeal small subunit ribosomal RNA
Source: RNAcentral